AGCGAACGCUGGCGGCAGGCUUAACACAUGCAAGUCGAACGCUCGUCUUCGGACGGGAGUGGCAGACGGGUGAGUAACACGUGGGAACGUACCCUUUGGUUCGGAAUAACGCAGGGAAACUUGCGCUAAUACCGGAUACGCCCUUUUGGGGAAAGGUUUACUGCCGAAGGAUCGGCCCGCGUCUGAUUAGCUAGUUGGUGGGGUAACGGCCUACCAAGGCGACGAUCAGUAGCUGGUCUGAGAGGAUGAUCAGCCACACUGGGACUGAGACACGGCCCAGACUCCUACGGGUGGCUG
This 297-nucleotide ribosomal RNA is filed under the name uncultured Pseudomonadota bacterium. RNAcentral's name for it is "uncultured proteobacterium partial 16S ribosomal RNA". It matches the Rfam family "Bacterial small subunit ribosomal RNA", at positions 29 to 351 of the family's 1533-position model. The record is from RNAcentral. Lineage: Bacteria; Pseudomonadati; Pseudomonadota.